GACAGUGGCAAGGGUGGUAGU
This 21-nucleotide unclassified non-coding RNA is filed under the name Mus musculus (house mouse). RNAcentral's name for it is "oocyte_clustered_small_RNA12677". Lineage: Eukaryota; Metazoa; Chordata; Mammalia; Rodentia; Muridae. The record is from RNAcentral.